UAGUAACUGCGAGUGAAGCGGGAAAAGCUCAAAUUUAAAAUCUGGUGGUCUUUUGGCCAUCCGAGUUGUAAUUUAGAGAAGCGUCUUCCGCGCUGGACCGUACACAAGUCUCCUGGAACGGAGCGUCAUAGAGGGUGAGAAUCCCGUCUUUGGUACGGACCCCCAGGGCUUCUGUGAUGCGCUCUCGAAGAGUCGAGUUGUUUGGGAAUGCAGCUCAAAAUGGGUGGUGAACUCCAUCUAAAGCUAAAUAUUGGCGAGAGACCGAUAGCGAACAAGUACCGUGAGGGAAAGAUGAAAAGCACUUUGGAAAGAGAGUGAAACAGUACGUGAAAUUGUUGAAAGGGAAACGCUUAAAGUCAGUCGCGUCCGCCGAGACUCAGCCUCGCUCCGGCUUGGUGUAUUUCUCGGUCGACGGGUCAGCAUCAAUUUUGUCCCUCGGAUAAUGGCGAGAGAAAGGUGGCACCUUUGCCGGUGUGUUAUAGUCUUUUGUCGCAUGCGAGGGGUGAGAUUGAGGAACUCAGCACGCGCGCCCUUCUGGGUGUGUCGGGGCCAAGGCCCACGCCACGUGCUUAGGAUGCUGGCGUAAUGGCUUUAAACGACCCGUCUUGAAACACGGACCAAGGAGUCUAACAUGCCCGCGAGUGUUCGGGUGGAAAACCCGUGCGCGUAAUGAAAGUGAAAGUUGGGACCUUCGUCGUGAAGGGCACCGACGCCCGGACCAGACCUUCUGUGACGGAUCUGCGGUGGAGCGUGCAUGUUGGGA
RNAcentral lists this ribosomal RNA (763 nucleotides) under Russula phloginea. RNAcentral describes it as "partial 28S ribosomal RNA". It matches the Rfam family "Eukaryotic large subunit ribosomal RNA", at positions 81 to 814 of the family's 3401-position model. Lineage: Eukaryota; Fungi; Basidiomycota; Agaricomycetes; Russulales; Russulaceae. The record is from RNAcentral.